GAAAGUAAAUAAGGGCGCAUGGCGGAUGCCUUGGCUCUCGGAGGCGAUGAAGGACGUGAUAAGCUGCGAUAAGCUUCGGGUAGGUGCAAAUGACCUUUGAUCCGAAGAUUUCCGAAUGGGACAACCCGGCAUUCUGAAGGAAUGUCAUCCAACUUGGUUGGAGGCUAACGCAGGGAACUGAAACAUCUUAGUACCUGCAGGAAAAGAAAAUAAAUAAUGAUUCCCCUAGUAGUGGCGAGCGAACGGGGAUUAGCCCAAACCACCCAUGUUACGGCAUGUGUGGGGUUGUAGGACCACGCUCUCGCAAGACAGUUAUUGAGAAGAAACGACUGGAAAGUCGUGCCAUAGACGGUGAUAGCCCGGUAUUCUAAGGUAACCGAAGCGUAGUGGUAUCCUGAGUAGCGCGGAGCACGAGGAAUUCUGCGUGAAUCAGCCGGGACCAUCCGGUAAGGCUAAAUACUCCCGAGAGACCGAUAGCGAACCAGUACUGUGAAGGAAAGGUGAAAAGCACUUCGAAUAGAAGAGUGAAAUAGUCCCUGAAACCAUGCGCCUACAAGCGGUCGGAGCAGCUUCAGCUGUGACGGCGUGCCUUUUGCAUAAUGAACCUACGAGUUACUUUUUCCGGCAAGGUUAAGCAUCUUGAGAUGUGGAUCCGAAGCGAAAGCGAGUCUGAACAGGGCGGAUAGUCGGAAGGAGUAGACGCGAAACCAAGUGAUCUACCCUUGGGCAGGUUGAAGGUUAGGUAACACUAACUGGAGGACCGAACCGAUAAGCGUUGAAAAGCUUCCGGAUGACCUGAGGGUGGGGGUGAAAGGCUAAUCAAACUUGGAGAUAGCUCGUACUCCCCGAAAUGCAUUUAGGUGCAGCCUUGAGAGUUACUAAUGUGAGGUAGAGCGACUGAUAAGAUGCGAGGGCUUCACCGCCUAUCAAGUCUUGAUAAACUCCGAAUGCGCAUUAGUUCUAUCUCAGGAGUGAGGGCAUGGGUGCUAAGGUCCAUGUCCUAAAGGAGAAGAAUCCAGACCAUCAGCUAAGGUCCCCAAAUAAACACUAAGUUGAACUAACGAAGUCAGAUUGCUAAGACAGCUAGGAUGUUGGCUUGGAAGCAGCCAUUCAUUUAAAGAGUGCGUAACAGCUCACUAGUCGAGGAGUUUGGCGUGGAUAAUAAUCGGGCAUAAGUGUUUUACCGAAGCUAUGGGAUCCUAACGGAUCGGUAGGGGAGCAUUCCACUCAGCGUUGAAGGCGAAGCGUGAGCUUUACUGGAGCGUGUGGAAAAGCAAAUGUAGGUAUAAGUAACGAUAAAGGGGGUGAGAAACCCCCUCGCCGCAAGACUAAGGUUUCCUGAUCAACGCUAAUCGGAUCAGGGUUAGUCGGGUCCUAAGGCUCAGCCGAACGGUGAGGCCGAUGGCAGAACAGGUUAAUAUUCCUGUACUACCUGUAAGAGUGAUGUGGAGACGGAGGAGUGACAACGCCGCGGACUGACGGAAUAGUCCGUUAAAGGGUGUAGAUGUUGAUUAUCCCAGGCAAAUCCGGGAUAAGAGUCGAACCUGACAGUAUACCAAUUUCCCCGGAAAACGGUAAUAGUGCGUGUAAACAUACUCCCAAGAAAAUCCGCUAAACUUAAUCUUACAGGUACCCGUACCGUAAACGGACACACGUAGUCGGGUUGAAUAUACUCAGGCGCUUGAGUGAAUCACGGUUAAGGAACUAGGCAAAUUGACCCUGUAACUUCGGGAUAAAGGGUCCCUACCCGGUGACGGGAGGGCGCAGAGAAUAGGUCCAGGCAACUGUUUAACAAAAACACAGGGCUGUGCAAAAUUGAAAGAUCACGUAUACAGCCUGACACCUGCCCGGUGCUGGAAGGUUAAGAGGAGAUGUCAUCGCAAGAGAAGCAUUGAAUUGAAGCCCCAGUAAACGGCGGCCGUAACUAUAACGGUCCUAAGGUAGCGAAAUUCCUUGUCGGGUAAGUUCCGACCUGCACGAAUGGUGUAAUGAUCUGGACACUGUCUCAACCGUGAGCUCAGUGAAAUUGUAGUAUCGGUGAAGAUGCCGAUUACCCGCGAUGGGACGAAAAGACCCCGUGAACCUUUACUAUAGCUUAACAUUGAAUUUGGGUAAUUGAUGUGUAGGAUAGGCC
RNAcentral lists this ribosomal RNA (2134 nucleotides) under gut metagenome. RNAcentral describes it as "bacterial LSU rRNA". It matches the Rfam family "Bacterial large subunit ribosomal RNA", at positions 1 to 2149 of the family's 2925-position model. The record is from RNAcentral.